GCUGAAUAGUAUGUAGCAACACUUUGCAUUUUUAAAAUAUCCUCCAUGUAUAUGACAUCUUGCUUUCCACCCUCUUUGGACAGAAGGAAAGCAAGUAGGGGUGGGAAGUGGUAGUGUGCUGAUAGCAAGAACAGGGUGAUGUGGGUGGUUGGUGGCAGCAGAUGGUGAACAGUGGGGAUAAGGUCAAAAACGGGCAGGGGCCAGACAGGGCCAAGAAAUAUGAGACAUUUAAAUAUGUCUGAAUUUAAAUAUAAUUUCCCAAGUCCAUGGGCUGACAUUUUUUGCUGAAGUUAUCUGGAUUGUAUUUAAUUAGCAACUUGGAGGAACCAAAGGAGAUGGAGAGUGGUAGAGGCUGAUCAUCUGCAGACCACUCCCACAGAACUCCAACCCCACCCUCAAUUGUUCUCUGGGUUUUCCUCCACUGAUCAUUUUGGCUCCUGGUCCUGGUUAAGUCACAACUGAACACUGAAUAAGAGAAUCUUGGGGGAUAGAUAUCUAUAUACUAUUGGGGUACUGUCUAUAACCAAGCUAACUUACAAACAGUCCCACCAUAGUCUAUUUUCCUUGGACUAGGCAUGCAGAAGUCCCUUUCCAGUGCUCCUUAUUUGUAUCACCCUUGUCACCGUGAAAUGCCCAACCAUCCCAGCUAACCCACUAGGUCAUAUCAAAUGUGAAUAGUUAACCAUCAAGCCCACUUCCAAUGCCUUCUUUCAGCUCCCCAGGUCCUCAAGGAGCAAAGCUCAUUUAUAAGACUCAGAGCUACAAUUUUGCCCAACCCAGCUUUGUGUAUUGGGGGUGAGAGGGACUAGGGAUUUAGCUCAAAUACUUUUCCCCAGAGCCCUUAUUUAUUUAUUUGUUUAUUUGUUUGUUUGUUUAUUUGAUGCAAUGUCUUGCUAAGUUGCUGAGGCUACACUUAAACUUGCAUCUUCCACCUCACCCUCACAAAUCUCUGGGACUACUGGCAUGUGCCACCAUGCCAGCCCCUGACCCAGCUUCAACCCAGACCCAUAGUCCUUUCCUCUUGCCCCCUCUCUUUCAUCCUUUCUCUCACUUUCCUUGGCCCAAGGCUCUUGUUCUGAAUCUUGUUCCCUUUAGCUCCAUUCUUUCCUUUCAUUCAUCUUUUUGCUUUUAAUACCUUUCCACUUGGCUGAUUCAUCCAGCAUUUACACUUUGGUCUCAGAUUCCUCCUUUCAUGACUUUGAAAUGCCACCAUGAAGGUCCCCUUGAGUAACCCCAG
Molecule: long non-coding RNA, 1237 nt
Filed under: Marmota monax (woodchuck)
Lineage: Eukaryota; Metazoa; Chordata; Mammalia; Rodentia; Sciuridae
Source: RNAcentral